GACGAACGCUGGCGGCGUGCUUAACACACGCAAGUCGAACGAUGAUGCCCAGCUUGCUGGGCGGAUUAGUGGCGAACGGGUGAGUAACACGUGAGUAACCUGCCCUUGACUUCGGGAUAACUCCGGGAAACCGGGGCUAAUACCGGAUAUGAGCCGCCCUCGCAUGGGGGUGGUUGGAAAGUUUUUCGGUCAGGGAUGGGCUCGCGGCCUAUCAGCUUGUUGGUGGGGUGAUGGCCUACCAAGGCGACGACGGGUAGCCGGCCUGAGAGGGCGACCGGCCACACUGGGACUGAGACACGGCCCAGACUCCUACGGGAGGCAGCAGUGGGGAAUAUUGCACAAUGGGCGAAAGCCUGAUGCAGCGACGCCGCGUGAGGGAUGAAGGCCUUCGGGUUGUAAACCUCUUUCAGCAGGGAAGAAGCGCAAGUGACGGUACCUGCAGAAGAAGCGCCGGCUAACUACGUGCCAGCAGCCGCGGUAAUACGUAGGGCGCAAGCGUUGUCCGGAAUUAUUGGGCGUAAAGAGCUCGUAGGCGGUUUGUCGCGUCUGGUGUGAAAACUCGAGGCUCAACCUCGAGCUUGCAUCGGGUACGGGCAGACUAGAGUGCGGUAGGGGAGACUGGAAUUCCUGGUGUAGCGGUGGAAUGCGCAGAUAUCAGGAGGAACACCGAUGGCGAAGGCAGGUCUCUGGGCCGCAACUGACGCUGAGGAGCGAAAGCAUGGGGAGCGAACAGG
This 734-nucleotide ribosomal RNA is filed under the name uncultured Cellulosimicrobium sp. RNAcentral describes it as "bacterial SSU rRNA". It matches the Rfam family "Bacterial small subunit ribosomal RNA", at positions 28 to 776 of the family's 1533-position model. The record is from RNAcentral. Lineage: Bacteria; Bacillati; Actinomycetota; Actinomycetes; Micrococcales; Promicromonosporaceae.